Molecule: ribosomal RNA, 304 nt
Filed under: uncultured bacterium
Lineage: Bacteria
Description: bacterial SSU rRNA
Rfam family: Bacterial small subunit ribosomal RNA
Source: RNAcentral
AUUGAACGCUGGCGGCAUGCCUUACACAUGCAAGUCGAACGUGAAAGGGGGCAACCCCCGAGUAGAGUGGCGGACGGGUGAGUAACACAUCGGAACGUACCCCAGUAGUGGGGGACAACCUCGAGAAAUCGAGGCUAAUACCGCAUACGACCCACGGGUGAAAGCGGGGGACCGCAAGGCCUCGCGCUAAUUGGAGCGGCCGAUGUCCGAUUAGCCUUGUCGGCGGGGUAAGAGCCCACCAAGGCGACGAUCGGUAGCUGGUCUGAGAGGAUGAUCAGCCACACUGGGACUGAGACACGGCCCA